This 86-nucleotide transfer RNA is filed under the name Acholeplasmataceae bacterium. Its description in RNAcentral is "tRNA-Leu". It matches the Rfam family "tRNA". Rfam says of the family: Transfer RNA (tRNA) molecules are approximately 80 nucleotides in length. Their secondary structure includes four short double-helical elements and three loops (D, anti-codon, and T loops). The record is from RNAcentral. Lineage: Bacteria; Bacillati; Mycoplasmatota; Mollicutes; Acholeplasmatales; Acholeplasmataceae.
GCGGACGUGGUGGAAUGGUAGACACGCAUGCUUGAGGGGCAUGUGGCAGAAAUGUCGUGUGAGUUCAAAUCUCAUCGUCCGCACCA